This is a long non-coding RNA of Callorhinus ursinus (northern fur seal), 663 nucleotides long. RefSeq lists it as uncharacterized. NCBI's taxonomy places the organism in Eukaryota, Metazoa, Chordata, Mammalia, Carnivora, Otariidae. The record is from RefSeq and is a predicted model, not a curated record.
UUCCAGAAAACAGUGGAUCUUGGAUAACUGAAACCACAGGAAGCAAAACUGCGGAUAAUUGGAGGGUUAAAGGUCAACUUCAUCAAGUCAUCUCAUUAACACAGAAAUGUCUUUGAAGGUAUUCAGUCUUUGCCAUGCUUGACAUUUCACCAAGAUGCCAAAGAAUCAGAUUCAAAUAUUAAUGAGCAAAAGGUCACAAUGAGCACUUUGAACAUACAAACCUACUGCCUUCUGUUCUCCAAAGUUCCUGCUGAGAAAAGUGGAAUAAUUUGAGCAUGAGUUACCUGCAAUGUUUGAAUCAUCAACAAAAGUAUAUUGAAGCUAUAUAAUUAAAAAAUGCAGACUCGUAAGGAGCAGAGAUUACAUAUACCAACACUAUAGAACGGACAACUCCAUUCUGCUUUGGAAGAAAACAGAAGGACAGGAAACCACAGAUCACAGAACCUAAAUGGAAUUACGACUCAAUCCAAGUCCUCCACCUUCAAAUUAUGGACUCAUCGAAAUGACUUCUGACAGAGCCUUUUGGCAUAAACAUAAAAAUGGCGGCUGUGGAGUGCUGUACGCUUUGGUACAUGAGGCUGAAAUACCAGAUUCCGGGUCUGCCAUCAACUAGACCUCUCCAAGCUUUGAUUCUACUCCAUGUAAAAAAUAAAUCUAAAUUUC